GUAUAGUCAAUGUAUUUUGGAAAUCGAGACUUACGAUCAUUGAACUUGUCGAAACGUCCCACGUAUGAUCACCGACGCAGUGUCGCCUGUGCUAGGUUGCCAGCUCAGCACGUUUUUUGCAAUUUGUCCCCUGAAUAAUCCCUUGCGGUGGGACAUGCUGUCCACGUGCCCAGCCAAUUAAGUCCCUCGUGGUAUUAUUCUUCAGGGGGCAAAUUGCAAAAUUCCGCUCUGAGUUAGCAUAGGUGACGCACAUACGGUAGAAAUACAGUACAAUAUGUGGUAUAUUUCAUCAAGUUGAGUGACCGUAAGUUUUGAUUUUUAAAAUACAGUGACUAAAUUGAGAAUUGAAACCAAGUUCAGUGAACUUCAGUGGAU
Brachypodium distachyon (stiff brome) is the source of this 375-nucleotide non-coding RNA. The record is from RefSeq and is marked provisional. Lineage: Eukaryota; Viridiplantae; Streptophyta; Magnoliopsida; Poales; Poaceae.